RNAcentral lists this non-coding RNA (51 nucleotides) under Chloropicon primus. Lineage: Eukaryota; Viridiplantae; Chlorophyta; Chloropicophyceae; Chloropicales; Chloropicaceae. The record is from RNAcentral.
GUUGCUCUGUUUUUUUUUUUUUUUUUUUUUUUUCUUGGUUGUUGUCGUGUU